This 65-nucleotide microRNA precursor is filed under the name Mus pahari (shrew mouse). Its description in RNAcentral is "microRNA 3097 (MGP_PahariEiJ_G0006792.1)". The record is from RNAcentral. Lineage: Eukaryota; Metazoa; Chordata; Mammalia; Rodentia; Muridae.
ACACAGGUGGGAAGUGUGUGUCCAGUGGGCGUGUCUACAGAUCUGCUCACCUUUCUACCUGUCAG